GAUGAACGCUGGCGGCGUGCCUAAUACAUGCAAGUCGAGCGAACGGACGAGAAGCUUGCUUCUCUGAUGUUAGCGGCGGACGGGUGAGUAACACGUGGAUAACCUACCUAUAAGACUGGGAUAACUUCGGGAAACCGGAGCUAAUACCGGAUAAUAUUUUGAACCGCAUGGUUCAAAAGUGAAAGACGGUCUUGCUGUCACUUAUAGAUGGAUCCGCGCUGCAUUAGCUAGUUGGUAAGGUAACGGCUUACCAAGGCAACGAUGCAUAGCCGACCUGAGAGGGUGGUCGGCCACACUGGAACGGAGACACGGUCCAGACUCCUACGGGAGGCAGCAGUAGGGAAUCUUCCGCAAUGGGCGAAAGCCUGACGGAGCAACGCCGCGUGAGUGAUGAAGGUCUUCGGAUCGUAAAACUCUGUUAUUAGGGAAGAACAUAUGUGUAAGUAACUGUGCACAUCUUGACGGUACCUAAUCAGAAAGCCACGGCUAACUACGUG
RNAcentral lists this ribosomal RNA (497 nucleotides) under uncultured bacterium. RNAcentral's name for it is "partial 16S ribosomal RNA". It matches the Rfam family "Bacterial small subunit ribosomal RNA", at positions 28 to 507 of the family's 1533-position model. The record is from RNAcentral.